UCCGUAGGCGGGUAAUUAAGUCAGAGGUGAAAUCCCACAGCUUAACUGUGGAACUGCCUUAGAUACUGGUUAUCUUGAGUUUUAGUGAAGUAGAUAGAAAUGUGUAGUGUAGCGGUGAAAUGCAUAGAUAUUACACAGAAUACCGAUUGCGAAGGCAGUCUACUAACUAACAACUGACGCUAAUGGACGAAAGCGUGGGGAGCGAACAGGAUUAGAUACCCUGGUAGUCC
This 230-nucleotide ribosomal RNA is filed under the name uncultured bacterium. RNAcentral describes it as "partial 16S ribosomal RNA". It matches the Rfam family "Bacterial small subunit ribosomal RNA", at positions 568 to 796 of the family's 1533-position model. The record is from RNAcentral.